AGCAGCCGCGGUAAUUCCAGCUCCAAUAGCGUAUAUUAAAGUUGUUGCAGUUAAAAAGCUCGUAGUUGAAUUUCGAGAUCAAUAUGUUGGUCGUGCCUCGGUACGUACUUGCAUCAUUGAUUUCUCCCUUCUGAUGAACCAUGAUGCCAUUAAUUUGGUGUCUUGGGGAAUCAGGACUGUUACUUUGAAAAAAUUAGAGUGUUUAAAGCAGGCUCACGCUUGAAUACAUUAGCAUGGAAUAAUGAAAUAGGACGUUUGAUUCUAUUUUGUUGGUUUCUAGGAUCGACGUAAUGAUUAAUAGGGAUAGUUGGGGGCAUUAGUAUUCAAUUGUCAGAGGUGAAAUUCUUGGAUUUAUUGAAGACUAACUACUGCGAAAGCAUUUGCCAAGGAUGUUUUCAUUAAUCAAGAACGAAAGUUAGGGGAUCGAAGACGAUCAGAUACCGUCGUAGU
Molecule: ribosomal RNA, 450 nt
Filed under: uncultured Glomeromycotina
Lineage: Eukaryota; Fungi; Glomeromycota
Description: SSU rRNA
Rfam family: Eukaryotic small subunit ribosomal RNA
Source: RNAcentral